RNAcentral lists this unclassified non-coding RNA (377 nucleotides) under uncultured Acidobacteriota bacterium. RNAcentral's name for it is "uncultured Acidobacteria bacterium contains 16S-23S intergenic spacer region". Lineage: Bacteria; Pseudomonadati; Acidobacteriota. The record is from RNAcentral.
UCCGGUUUAUCACCGGCGGUCCCGUCUAGAGUGCUGCCUUUAACAGCGAGCAACUAGAGGCAAGGGUUGCGCUCGUUGCGGGACUUAACCCAACAUCUCACGACACGAGCUGACGACAGCCAUGCAGCACCUCUGUUACUGUCUAUUGCUAGACGUUUCCAUCUCUGGAAACUUCACUAACAGUUCAAACCCAGGUAAGGUUCUUCGCGUUGCAUCGAAUUGAACCACAUGCUCCACCGCUUGUGCGGGCCCCCGUCAAUUCCUUUGAGUUUCAGACUUGCGACCGUACUCCCCAGGCGGUGCACUUAUCGCGUUAACUUCGGCACAAACCGAAAACCGGCUUACACCAAGUGCACAUUGUUUACGGCUAGGACUAC